Molecule: ribosomal RNA, 236 nt
Filed under: uncultured bacterium
Lineage: Bacteria
Description: partial 16S ribosomal RNA
Rfam family: Bacterial small subunit ribosomal RNA
Source: RNAcentral
GAUCCUGGCUCAGGAUGAACGCUAGCUACAGGCUUAACACAUGCAAGUCGAGGGGCAGCAUUUCAGUUUGCUUGCAAACUGGAGAUGGCGACCGGCGCACGGGUGAGUAACACGUAUCCAACCUGCCGAUAACUCGGGGAUAGCCUUUCGAAAGAAAGAUUAAUACCGGAUAGUAUCGAGAGAUUGCAUGAUUACCCGAUUAAAGAUUCAUCGGUAACGGAUGGGGAUGCGUUCCA